GUGUACAUUCUUACAUCAUAGCAUUAAUGCACCAGAUCCCAUUAGAACUCCAUAGUUAACCAUGAUCGAGCUAGAUUAUUACUACGAUGGAUGAUCACUCGAGAAGUCUUAUUAUUUUACAUC
Non-coding RNA from Picea glauca (white spruce), 123 nucleotides. The record is from Rfam. NCBI's taxonomy places the organism in Eukaryota, Viridiplantae, Streptophyta, Pinopsida, Pinales, Pinaceae.